This 166-nucleotide ribosomal RNA is filed under the name Dumasia cordifolia. Its description in RNAcentral is "5.8S ribosomal RNA". It matches the Rfam family "5.8S ribosomal RNA". Rfam says of the family: 5.8S ribosomal RNA (5.8S rRNA) is a component of the large subunit of the eukaryotic ribosome. It is transcribed by RNA polymerase I as part of the 45S precursor that also contains 18S and 28S rRNA. Functionally, it is thought that 5.8S rRNA may be involved in ribosome translocation. Lineage: Eukaryota; Viridiplantae; Streptophyta; Magnoliopsida; Fabales; Fabaceae. The record is from RNAcentral.
ACAAAAUGACUCUCGGCAACGGAUAUCUCGGCUCUUGCAUCGAUGAAGAACGUAGCGAAAUGCGAUACUUGGUGUGAAUUGCAGAAUCCCGUGAACCAUCGAGUCUUUGAACGCAAGUUGCGCCUGAAGCCAUUAGGUUGAAGGCACGCCUGCCUGGGUGUCACAC